CUGAAGCGCAGUCACACACUUCCUCGUCGCUGUGUUGAUAAACAAAUCUCAUUUCAUUCAUUUUGUUUCAAGCGAGGAUGACAACGACUUUGUUUAAAAUCUUAAUUUAAUAGCUUUCCUUUUUUUAAUUUACACGAUGAAAAAUGAGUGAUUCCGCUGGUCAGGGCACUGAUGGAUUUUAUAAUAUGGUUUACCACAGUCAUCACAAAUGUCAUUUUGUCUGUCUCAGCCUUGCAUGCUGCUCUUCAGCUCUUCAAGGACCACAGAGCUUCCGCACUGGGCUUUCUCCUGAUCGGCUGCUCCUCUGUACUUUCAGUCUUUUCACCCAGUAACCAACCAAUCAUAUCACUCCUGAAGGAUCUAGAAUGGGCAGGUGAAACACUUGGACCAGCACUCUCUACCUUUGACUUCUUGUGGCUUAGUGAGGACCACUUCACUGCCCGUAUCCUCCUGAUUGGCUCCUCCUCUCUCCUAAUACUCUCUGAUUGGCUAUCACCAGAUGGGUUGAUGAUUAUGUCAUGCUGCCUGGCCUUCUCCUCCCUUUCCUGUUCACUGACAGUGUGUGCAUUUGCUGAAAAUGCAGUAGGGGCAGUAGGAAGUGUCGCUCUCAGUCUCCCAUUAUUAGUGUCCCCAAGGAGCAGAUCUAAAUCCCCUGAGGUUACAAAAGGACUUCUCAGCUGGAUCCUUAAAAUCAUCAUGGCAUUAGGAUGCUGGACCACUAGGAAGGCCCUUAAUAAAUACCUGCUUGAUUUAAAAGGUUGGGACUGAACCAUGUCAUCUUUCACAGUGGGAUUUAACAUACUUGAAAACAAUGUGUUUCUGAAGACAACGGUGAACCACAAAGUGCUACUUCUUUACUCUCAGGUGUUUAGCAGGUAUAGAUUAUGUGUACUUCUGUAGUUAAAAGCUCUUUAGAGCUAAUAUCAUGAUAAACUUACAUAAUGGUUUAUAAUAGGCCUACUAAAACCUGAGGUUGUUAGAAUGUGUAAUAAUAUGAUUAUAAAGUUUGGUUAUGACAUAUUAAAUACAUUACAGUUACACUGAGGCCUUGAAAAAUCCCUGUGCAAUGAAUAUUUUUUUUUAGCAUCACUAACAAUGUAUUCCUUUGUAAAGAAAGAAUGUGACCCUGUCUAAACAGACAUAGUAUUCUCAUUUGUGCAGGGCACCAUUCAGCUGUGAAAACAAUGAAGCACAUUGAAAGGACACAUCAAUGAUCAGUACACUGUAACAAUUUAUUUGUGACCAUUAUUUGAGUUUUUAUCUAAACUAGCAGGUUUAGUGAAUAUACUAACUUCCAUUGGCUUUAGAUUCGUAGUACUCUGGAUUGUUUGAAAACAUGUCAAAUAAUUACUUAAUACUUAUUAAAAAUGUUUGGGUAGCUAAUGCCUAAUGUGUCCUUAGACAUUUCUUUUAACAACAUCAAGAUGUUAGGUUUAAAUUCAUAUGAAUGUAUAACGGUAAGUGUAUAUCUUAGGUCCCGUGACCAUUUAUUUUGUUUUUCAUUCAUUUUGAUUCAUCUUUUGGCUUUACUACUUUAUUUUAAAUGUUACUGCAGUGUGACAGAUUAAUUUUUAAAAGUAUUUUUUUUCUAUGCAGUGUCUCUAUUAAUAUGAGGACAUAAAAGCUCAAUUAGAUGGAGCAUAGCAUGUCACACUGGAGGACAUGCCAACUUCCUAAAAGUAUUUCAUGUCAUCUACCCUUUUACAAACCAUGACAUAUGCCAUUAUUUUGUAGACUUUAACCAAACCCUGAGAAGAAUGCGAGCAAGCUCAUAGCCUGCACUCACUAAAUGCAGAUUCCCCAUUGCUGCAGGCCACAGAUUUAUCUUGCUAAGUCACCCUUAGUUCUGUUCAGCUUCUAGCCAUGGUUGUAUGCAAAAAGCCUUACAGUGUGCGCAUGCCAGGAGUGUGAAGCAGCAUAUCUGUCUGUUGUGCUGCCUCAUCAUUCUAAGAGCCUUGUCUGCUCUCAUACAUCACUGUAUUGAUUCACUUUGCAAUGCAGUUGGCAAAAACAAAUUACAUCAAAUGGAAUGAUUGUGUACUCAAAGAACUACAGACAUAUUCUUUCUUGCUCACUGGAUGUAAUGUUCUUUAGAUACAGCAUGAUGUUGUCUAUUGCAUAAUUAUAUAACAAUGGAGGAUUAUUUGCCUUAAAUACCUGAAUUAAUGAGGUGUUUAGUAAACACUUCAUGUACGCUUGUGUCAGGACAGCAGGGAAAUGCAAUCCUUGUCUUAGGUGCUUAUCACUAUAGUAAGUCUACAGUAAAAUAUGAUUUUACAUUAGCCAUAAGCCAUUUAUUUCUGCAAUAUUAUGACUCUAUUCAUGGGAAAAGGGAACACAGUGAGGAUGGUCCAAUAUAGUCAGCACUUAACAGCCAAAUGGCCUGAACAUAUUGCAAGGUUCCUGUAGCUCAACUGGUAGAGCCUCAUAGGUUUGAUUGCCAGGGAGCACACCAUCUGAUAAAAUGUAUACCCUGAAUGCACUGUAAGUCGCUUUGGAUAAAGGCAUCUGCCAA
Long non-coding RNA from Myxocyprinus asiaticus (Chinese sucker), 2515 nucleotides. RefSeq lists it as uncharacterized. The transcript has 3 exons. NCBI's taxonomy places the organism in Eukaryota, Metazoa, Chordata, Actinopteri, Cypriniformes, Catostomidae. The record is from RefSeq and is a predicted model, not a curated record.